RNAcentral lists this unclassified non-coding RNA (1882 nucleotides) under Dimorphilus gyrociliatus. RNAcentral's name for it is "gTP cyclohydrolase 1". Lineage: Eukaryota; Metazoa; Annelida; Polychaeta; Dinophilidae. The record is from RNAcentral.
GCAUAAAUAUUCGAUCUACAAAGCCAUCAGGCCACUAACGUUUUCGUGAAAAACAAAGAAAUGUCGAAGCCGCUCUUUUUGAACACCAAUGGUGAAUUGGAGAAUAAAAUUAAAGAGCUCAGCUUAUUAAAGAGCCCCGAAAGAUCAGCUAGAAAAGAAGUAAAAUACCUUGGUGACGAUGAUGACCACUCUUCGAGAGCUCCUAGGUCAGCUUUUUCACCCUCACCUCGUAUGGAUGAACUACAACGUUUCGAGCACAAGCAUCAAGUUGUAGCGGAGAUGUCUGCAGCCUACAAAAAUCUAUUGGUUUCCAUUGGUGAAGACCCAGGCCGUCAAGGUUUGCUUAAGACACCGGACAGAGCAGCCAAAGCUUUCCUCUACUUUACUAGAGGUUACGACGAGAAGAUAUCAGAUGUUCUAAACGAUGCGAUUUUCGACGAGGAUACAGACGAAAUGGUUAUUGUUAAGAAUAUUGAAAUGUUCUCAAUGUGCGAGCAUCAUCUUGUUCCUUUUAUUGGAAAGGUAUCAAUUGGUUACUUGCCCAAUAAAAGAGUAAUAGGCUUAAGUAAAUUAGCCAGAAUUGUGGAGGUGUACAGUAGAAGAUUGCAAGGUAAAAAUGGAACUUACUUUUAUUUGUUUAUAAUUAAUAGAUUAAAAAAAAAAUUGAGAAAAGCAAAAAGAAUAGAAAAGAGAAAAUAACUCAUUUUUUUUUAAGUUAAAGGGAAAACUAGUAGGAAACUAAUUUCGAUAUAAUCUAAAGAAAAAUCUAGACUUAAAUAAUAAUAAGGGAAAAUACAAAUUCCGUUUUAAAAUAACUGGAGUUUUUGUACGAGAACGCCGCAUAUAUAUCGACGCAAGCCCCAAUCGAAUAUUGCAAUAGCAUGUUAAUGAGGCAGCAAUAUUCAGCAAUACAGUUUCUGUUUGCAUGUUUGGACAUUUUGGUCGCUAUUUCAGUAAUACAACAUUUUGCCCGUAUGUCGAAAUAUAAAUAUAACAAUAUAGUUGGUAUUCUAUCAGUUCAAGAACGGCUUUCAAAACAAAUUGCUGAAGCGGUUGUUACUGCUGUUCAACCAUUCGGUGUUGCUGUCAACAUUGAGGCAACUACAAGAACGUCUCACUAAACAAAUAGCACUAGCGAUUUUCGAAGCAAUAAGUCCUGCAGGUGUCGCUGUUGUUUGCGAAGCUUCGCAUAUGUGCAUGGUGAUGAGAGGCGUGCAGAAAAUUAAUAGUAGGACCAUAACGAGCACAAUGUUAGGCGUCUUCAGGGAAGAUCCCAAGACUAGAGAGGAAUUUUUAACCUUGAUUAAAGAAUAAAACUCUUUGUUUGGUGAUGGAAUUCUUAAAUACUCAUAUUCACGGAAAAGGGUAUUUUAUCCACAUUUAAGGAAACAAUUAAGUCCUGUUCAAAUGGAUAUUAAUGGAACAAUUAAGGAACAUUCAUUUAAUCUUAUAUUUUGUUUGAAAAAAAAAGUUUUUGCAGGCAAAUCAUGUAAAUGUUGUUUACUAAUUUUUCUGUAAAUUUUAAGAAAAACCUGGGUAAAAUUCAAAUGAAAAAUAGAAUGAAGAUGAAAAAUGGCGAAAAUGGGAAUAAUUUAUUAAGUAUAAAUUAAAUUUUCAACCACGACUAACCACUUGAAGAGAAUAACAAGAAGCAAUAAUGAAAUCAAGUUUAUCCUAAUUUUCCUCUAAUGAUCAUUUAAUGUUGCCCUGCAAAAAAUAUAUGUAGUAAGGUAUUGUUUGUUUUGUUCUUGUCUUCCAAAAAAUUAUAUAUGACAAUUAUGCUGAUAUUGUAAUUUUACUUUGUAUGAAUAAUCAAUACACAAUUGGUGCAGAUUAAUGAAAAAUUAUACCUAUAUAUGCAACUGAGGAACGAGAGAGUGGG